This 350-nucleotide ribosomal RNA is filed under the name uncultured bacterium. RNAcentral's name for it is "bacterial SSU rRNA". It matches the Rfam family "Bacterial small subunit ribosomal RNA", at positions 486 to 835 of the family's 1533-position model. The record is from RNAcentral.
AUAAGCAUCGGCUAACUCCGUGCCAGCAGCCGCGGUAAUACGGAGGAUGCAAGCGUUAUCCGGAUUUAUUGGGUUUAAAGGGUUCGCAGGCGGCGUAUUAAGUCAGUGGUGAAAUCCCUCGGCUCAACCGAGGAACUGCCAUUGAUACUGGUAUGCUAGAGUAUAGUUGGCGUAGGCGGAAUAUUUCAUGUAGCGGUGAAAUGCUUAGAUAUGAAAUAGAACACCGAUCGCGAAGGCAGCUUACGAAACUAUAACUGACGCUCAGGAACGAAAGCGUGGGGAGCGAACAGGAUUAGAUACCCUGGUAGUCCACGCUGUAAACGAUGAUUACUCGUUGUCGGCGAUACACA